UUACUUAGCCUAGCUUCCCAACAUUUCCUCUCUCUCCCUCUCUCUCUCUCUCUCUCUCUCUCUCAAAACCCCUAAAAUUCCUAAACUCCUAAAAAACUCAUCGCUCAAUAUCAAGCAUUGUGUGGCUAAACAAUACUCUUGUCAAUCACUGGGCAUUAUUCGGCUACAUCAAGAGUUAUGGCACCAAGUAAGCAAUGGAUGCAGCUUAUUGACAAUCGACUCGAUGAAGCCUAUUUAAUUGGGGUGCAGAAGUUUUUAGAUUAUGCUUUUAGAAGAACAGGAGAAUUGUAUGAAAUACGAUGUCUAUGUGUCAAAUGUUGUAACACAACAUUAGGAACACACGAGACAGUCGAGUCACAUUUGAAAGUAUAUGGAAUAAUAAAAAAUUAUACUUUUUGGUAUCACCAUGGAGAAAUUUUAGGUGAGCCACAGUCGGAACUUGAAGAUGAUGAUGAAGCAGAAGAAUACGAGAGAGGAUGAAAUAGAAGAAAUUUUGAGAGAUCUAUAUCCUAAUCAUGAUAUAAGCCCUGCAGACGUUGGUUGUGAUGAUUUACUUUAAGAGGAACCGAAUGUUGAACCGAAUGUUGAAGCCAAAAGAUUUUACAGUCUAUUGAGGGAUUUUGAGAAGCCACUGUACCAAAGCUCAAAAUUUUCAAAACUUUCCACUUUGAUUAAAUUGCUUCACAUAAAAAGUAUGGGUCGCUGGAACAAUGAGUCAUUUACAAUGCUAUUAAAAAUGUUAAAGGAUGAGUUGUUGCCCGAUGGAGCGGAUUUGCCAAAUUCAUAUUAUGAGGCAAAGAAGGAAAUUUGGAAUCUUGGGCUUUCCUACUUCAAGAUUAAUGCUUGUAUAAAUGAUUGCAUGUUAUACUGGAAGGAGGAUAAUUUACUUGAUUCUUGUAAAGUUUGUGGUGCAUCUAGAUGGAAAAUAAAUUAACAUAGCGGGGAAGCAAAGAAUAAAAAAGGCAAAAAAAUAGCAGCAAAGACUUUGCGCUAUUUUCCAUUAAAGCCUAGACUUCAAAGGUUGUUUAUGUCUACAAAAACAUCUUCUCUAAUGACAUGGCAUCAUGAUAAAAGAGUUGAUGAUGGAAUAAUGAGGCACCCAGCUGAUUCAAUGGCUUGGAAAUCAUUUGAUAAACUUCAUCCCUCAUUUGCGGCCAAGCCUUGUAAUGUUCGACUUGGACUUGCUAGUGAUGAAUUUCAGCCAUUUCGCAAUACAAAAACCUCAUAUAGCAUUUGGCCGGUGGUACUUAUUCCUUAUAAUUUACCACCUUGGUUGUGUAUGAAACAAGAAAAUUUUAUUAUGUCAAUGCUUAUUCCUGGUCCAGAUAGUCCAGGAGAUGCAAUUGACAUAUAUCUUCAACCUUUGAUAGAGGAACUAAAUGAGUUAUGGGAAAUUAGUGUUGACA
Long non-coding RNA from Nicotiana tabacum (common tobacco), 1406 nucleotides. RefSeq lists it as uncharacterized. NCBI's taxonomy places the organism in Eukaryota, Viridiplantae, Streptophyta, Magnoliopsida, Solanales, Solanaceae. The record is from RefSeq and is a predicted model, not a curated record.